Molecule: ribosomal RNA, 564 nt
Filed under: uncultured bacterium
Lineage: Bacteria
Description: bacterial SSU rRNA
Rfam family: Bacterial small subunit ribosomal RNA
Source: RNAcentral
AACCGGAUUAGAUACCCUGGUAGUCCACGCCCUAAACGAUGUCUACUAGUUGUCGGGUUUUAAUUAACUUGGUAACGCAGCUAACGCGUGAAGUAGCCCGCCUGGGGAGUACGGUCGCAAGAUUAAAACUCAAAGGAAUUGACGGGGACCCGCACAAGCGGUGGAUGAUGUGGAUUAAUUCGAUGCAACGCGAAAAACCUUACCUACCCUUGACAUGUACGGAAGACCGAAGAGAUUUGGUUGUGCUCGAAAGAGAACCGUAACACAGGUGCUGCAUGGCUGUCGUCAGCUCGUGUCGUGAGAUGUUGGGUUAAGUCCCGCAACGAGCGCAACCCUUGUCAUUAGUUGCUACAUUUAGUUGAGCACUCUAAUGAGACUGCCGGUGACAAACCGGAGGAAGGUGGGGAUGACGUCAAGUCCUCAUGGCCCUUAUGGGUAGGGCUUCACACGUCAUACAAUGGUACAUACAGAGGGCCGCCAACCCGCGAGGGGGAGCUAAUCCCAGAAAGUGUAUCGUAGUCCGGAUCGCAGUCUGCAACUCGACUGCGUGAAGUUGGAAUCGCU